CGGGCGGCUGCCCUAUACGUGCAAGUCGUACGAACUCUGGUAUUGAUUGGUGCUUGCAUCAUGAUUUACAUUUGAGUGAGUGGCGAACUGGUGAGUAACACGUGGGAAACCUGCCCAGAAGCGGGGGAUAACACGUGGAAACAGAUGCUAAUACCGCGUAACAACUUGGACCGCAUGGUCCGAGCUUGAAAGAUGGCUUCGGCUAUCACUUUUGGAUGGUCCCGCGGCGUAUUAGCUAUAUGGUGGGGUAACGGCUCACCAUGGCAAUGAUACGUAUCCGACCUGAGAGGGUAAUCGGCCACUUUGGGACUGAGACACGGCCCAAACUACUACGGGAGGCAGCAGUAGGGAAUCUUCCACAAUGGACGAAAGUCUGAUGGAGCAACGCCGCGUGAGUGAAGAAGGGUUUCGGCUCGUAAAACUCUGUUGUUAAAGAAGAACAUAUCUGAGAGUAACUGUUCAGGUAUUGACGGUAUUUAACCAGAAAGCCACGGCUAACUACGUGCCAGCAGCCGCGGUAAUACGUAGGUGGCAAGCGUUGUCCGGAUUUAUUGGGCGUAAAGCGAGCGCAGGCGGUUUUUUAAGUCUGAUGUGAAAGCCUUCGGCUCAACCGAAGAAGUGCAUCGGAAACUGGGAAACUUGAGUGCAGAAGAGGACAGUGGAACUCCAUGUGUAGCGGUGAAAUGCGUAGAUAUAUGGAAGAACACCAGUGGCGAAGGCGGCUGUCUGGUCUGUAACUGACGCUGAGGCUCGAAAGUAUGGGUAGCAAACAGGAUUAGAUACCCUGGUAGUCCAUACCGUAAACGAUGAAUGCUAAGUGUUGGAGGGUUUCCGCCCUUCAGUGCUGCAGCUAACGCAUUAAGCAUUCCGCCUGGGGAGUACGGCCGCAAGGCUGAAACUCAAAGGAAUUGACGGGGGCCCGCACAAGCGGUGGAGCAUGUGGUUUAAUUCGAAGCUACGCGAAGAACCUUACCAGGUCUUGACAUACUAUGCAAAUCUAAGAGAUUAGACGUUCCCUUCGGGGACAUGGAUACAGGUGGUGCAUGGUUGUCGUCAGCUCGUGUCGUGAGAUGUUGGGUUAAGUCCCGCAACGAGCGCAACCCUUAUUAUCAGUUGCCAGCAUUAAGUUGGGCACUCUGGUGAGACUGCCGGUGACAAACCGGAGGAAGGUGGGGAUGACGUCAAAUCAUCAUGCCCCUUAUGACCUGGGCUACACACGUGCUACAAUGGAUGGUACAACGAGUUGCGAACUCGCGAGAGUAAGCUAAUCUCUUAAAGCCAUUCUCAGUUCGGAUUGUAGGCUGCAACUCGCCUACAUGAAGUCGGAAUCGCUAGUAAUCGCGGAUCAGCAUGCCGCGGUGAAUACGUUCCCGGGCCUUGUACACACCGCCCGUCACACCAUGAGAGUUUGUAACACCCAAAGUCGGUGGGGUAACCUUUUAGGAACCAGCCGCCUAAGGUGGGACAGAUGAUUAGGGUGAAGUCGUAACAAGUGCCCG
RNAcentral lists this ribosomal RNA (1499 nucleotides) under Lactiplantibacillus plantarum. RNAcentral describes it as "bacterial SSU rRNA". It matches the Rfam family "Bacterial small subunit ribosomal RNA". The record is from RNAcentral. Lineage: Bacteria; Bacillati; Bacillota; Bacilli; Lactobacillales; Lactobacillaceae.